This 838-nucleotide ribosomal RNA is filed under the name Cellulophaga sp. RHA_51. RNAcentral's name for it is "bacterial SSU rRNA". It matches the Rfam family "Bacterial small subunit ribosomal RNA", at positions 65 to 903 of the family's 1533-position model. The record is from RNAcentral. Lineage: Bacteria; Pseudomonadati; Bacteroidota; Flavobacteriia; Flavobacteriales; Flavobacteriaceae.
AGGGGUAACAGAGGAGCUUGCUCUUGCUGACGACCGGCGCACGGGUGCGUAACGCGUAUACAAUCUGCCUUACACUAAGGGAUAGCCCAGAGAAAUUUGGAUUAACACCUUAUAGUUUAUUUUUAUGGCAUCAUUUAAAUAAUAAAGUUUACGGUGUAAGAUGAGUAUGCGUCCCAUUAGUUUGUUGGUAAGGUAACGGCUUACCAAGACUACGAUGGGUAGGGGCCCUGAGAGGGGGAUCCCCCACACUGGUACUGAGACACGGACCAGACUCCUACGGGAGGCAGCAGUGAGGAAUAUUGGACAAUGGAGGAGACUCUGAUCCAGCCAUGCCGCGUGCAGGAAGACGGUCCUAUGGAUUGUAAACUGCUUUUAUACAGGAAGAAUAAGGACUACGUGUAGUCUGGUGACGGUACUGUAAGAAUAAGGACCGGCUAACUCCGUGCCAGCAGCCGCGGUAAUACGGAGGGUCCGAGCGUUAUCCGGAAUUAUUGGGUUUAAAGGGUCCGUAGGCGGGCUGUUAAGUCAGGGGUGAAAGUUUGCAGCUCAACUGUAGAAUUGCCUUUGAUACUGAUGGUCUUGAAUUAUUGUGAAGUGGUUAGAAUAUGUAGUGUAGCGGUGAAAUGCAUAGAUAUUACAUAGAAUACCGAUUGCGAAGGCAGAUCACUAACAAUUGAUUGACGCUGAUGGACGAAAGCGUGGGUAGCGAACAGGAUUAGAUACCCUGGUAGUCCACGCCGUAAACGAUGGAUACUAGCUGUUUGGAUUUCGAUCUGAGCGGCCAAGCGAAAGUGAUAAGUAUCCCACCUGGGGAGUACGUUCGCAAGAAUGAAACUCA